RNAcentral lists this ribosomal RNA (474 nucleotides) under uncultured bacterium. RNAcentral's name for it is "bacterial SSU rRNA". It matches the Rfam family "Bacterial small subunit ribosomal RNA", at positions 28 to 507 of the family's 1533-position model. The record is from RNAcentral.
GAUGAACGCUGGCGGCGUGCUUAGCACAUGCAAGUCGAACGAAGCAGAUGAGAAAGCUUGCUUUUUUAUUUCGCUUAGUGGCGGACGGGUGAGUAACGCGUGAGUAACCUGCCCUUCAGUGGGGAAUAACAUCGAGAAAUCGGUGCUAAUACCGCAUAACGUAUUUAUGUCGCAUGACAUUUAUACCAAAGGAUUUAUUCGCUGAAGGAUGGACUCGCGUCCGAUUAGAUAGUUGGUGAGAUAAUGGCCCACCAAGUCAACGAUCGGUAGCCGAACUGAGAGGUUGAUCGGCCACAUUGGGACUGAGACACGGCCCAGACUCCUACGGGAGGCAGCAGUGGGGAAUAUUGGGCAAUGGGCGAAAGCCUGACCCAGCAACGCCGCGUGAAGGAUGAAGGUCUUCGGAUUGUAAACUUCUUUGAUUAGGGAAGAAUUUUUGACCUACCUAAAGAACAAGUCACGGCUAACUACGUG